ACAAAAAUUUCAAUGAUUUUUUUUAUGUGUGAAAACACAUAUCCACCAGAAAGAGUUCAUCCCGAGACAUAUUAACGACACAUAUAAACAUUCAAUUGAUCAAAUUUUAAAAGGUAUGUGUCGAUACACAUAGUUGAAAUUUAUUAUUUCUCACACAUAGUUUUAAUGGUUUUAAACAAUGAGAAAAUGAAUGUAUGUAGCGCAUGAACUUUGUUGUUAUUGCGCCAUUUUUCUUCAAAAUCUUUCAGCAUGGCCACGAAGAAAUUUUGGUGUGGAGAAGUGCAGGACGUUGAAAUGGAAAUCUUUCAAGGAUUUACGUUCGCAAGAGGUGGUUGCUUCUACCGUAUCGGUAUUCCCACGGUUGCCUUGUGUGGAAGCAAAUACUGAGGCCAUCCUUCAUACCAUCCGAGUACUAGGAAACGAAAGACAUCCACCUAGAAAAGCGUACACAAAAGCUGCUGUGGUCAUCCUUCCAAGGCCAAUGGUAUACCCUGUGAGAAACUCGACCCUGCCAAACAACUUCUUGUAGAAGUCUGGGACAAACUUCCGGAACAUGCCAGCGCCGGCUAUGAAGAACUAUAUACCGACCAUACGUACGGGAACAAAAUCUAGAGAGGAACCGUUACGAUCCGGAGAAGACAGUAACUCUUGCCACGACUCUAGCUGGAUGUCACCGACCAGAGGGGUCGUCGGUACAAUGCGGAAUUACAGCAUAGAAAUCGAAGUUGUUUUUCAAAAAUGUAUCGUUAGUUAUUUGGCAUAAAUUAUGAAUAAAUUUUCAAAUUUUAAAAUGGAAUCGUGUUUUUGUCUAUCAAUAACAAUAAGAAAACAAUAAAAGCAAAAAUACCAUUCAAUUUGACAAAUAAAUACCAAAAGUCCUCACAGAUUAAAACUAAUAAUCAGGGAAUAUGAAAGUAAUAACAUCCACACAUAUUUCUGAUAAGCUUUAGGUUCAUCCGGAUGUAAGUAUACGGCACAUAUAAAAUAUUGCUUAAAUCUAAUUGCAAAAAUCUAUAUAGGCUGACACAUACAAGCAAUAUGGAAAAUUCUCUC
Aedes albopictus (Asian tiger mosquito) is the source of this 1053-nucleotide long non-coding RNA. RefSeq lists it as uncharacterized. The transcript is spliced from 3 exons. Lineage: Eukaryota; Metazoa; Arthropoda; Insecta; Diptera; Culicidae. The record is from RefSeq and is a predicted model, not a curated record.